UACGGGGGGGGCAAGCGUUGUUCGGAAUUACUGGGCGUAAAGGGCUCGUAGGCGGCCAACUAAGUCAGACGUGAAAUCCCCAGGCUCAACCUGGGAACUGCGUCUGAUACUGGAUGGCUUGAAUCCGGGAGAGGGAUGCAGAAUUCCAGGUGUAGCGGUGAAAUGCGUAGAUAUCGAGAGGAACACCUGCGGCGAAGGCGGGUUGCUGGGCUGACACUGACGCUGAGACGCGAAAGCGUGGGGAGCAAACAGG
This 253-nucleotide ribosomal RNA is filed under the name uncultured bacterium. Its description in RNAcentral is "partial 16S ribosomal RNA". It matches the Rfam family "Bacterial small subunit ribosomal RNA", at positions 524 to 776 of the family's 1533-position model. The record is from RNAcentral.